GAACGCUGGCGGCGUGCCUAACACAUGCAAGUCGAACGGAGAAUUUCAAUAAGUUUACUUAGAGAAGUUCUUAGUGGCGGACGGGUGAGUAACGCGUGGGUAACCUACCCAUAAAGUCGGGACAACCCUUGGAAACGAGGGCUAAUACCGAAUAAUCUUCGAGCUUGGCAUCAAGCAUGAAGGAAAGAUGGCCUCUGAAAAUGCUAUCGAUUAUGGAUGGACCCGCGUCUGAUUAGCUAGUUGGUGGGGUAAAGGCCUACCAAGGCGACGAUCAGUAGCCGGCCUGAGAGGGUGAACGGCCACACUGGGACUGAGACACGGCCCAGACUCCUACGGGAGGCAGCAGUGGGGAAUCUUCCGCAAUGGACGAAAGUCUGACGGAGCAACGCCGCGUGUAUGAUGAAGGUCUUCGGAUUGUAAAGUACUGUCUUUGGGGAAGAACGGUCUUCUUGAGAACAUUGAGGAGACAUGACGGUACCCAAGGAGGAAGCCCCGGCUAACUACGUGCCAGCAGCCCGCGGUAAUACGUAGGGGGCAAGCGUUGUCCGGAAUUAUUGGGCGUAAAGGGCGCCGUAGGCGGAUGUUUAAGUCCGGUGUGAAAGAUCAGGGCUCAACCCUGGGAAGUGCAUUGGAAACUGGCANGACUUGAAUACGGGANAGGGUAAGUGGAAUUNCUGGUGUANGAAGUGAAAUCCGNANAUAUUAGGAGGAACCCGGUGCNAAGCGGNUACCU
This 733-nucleotide ribosomal RNA is filed under the name uncultured bacterium. RNAcentral's name for it is "bacterial SSU rRNA". It matches the Rfam family "Bacterial small subunit ribosomal RNA", at positions 31 to 730 of the family's 1533-position model. The record is from RNAcentral.